This 279-nucleotide ribosomal RNA is filed under the name uncultured bacterium. RNAcentral describes it as "partial 16S ribosomal RNA". It matches the Rfam family "Bacterial small subunit ribosomal RNA", at positions 506 to 784 of the family's 1533-position model. The record is from RNAcentral.
UGCCAGCCGCCGCGGUAAUACAUAGGGGUUAAGCGUUGUUCGGAAUUACUGGGCUUAAAGAGUUCGUAGGUGGUUGAAAAAGUUGGUGGUGAAAUCCCAGAGCUUAACUCUGGAACUGCCAUCAAAACUUUUCAGCUAGAGUUUGAUAGAGGAAAGCAGAAUUUCUAGUGUAGAGGUGAAAUUCGUAGAUAUUAGAAAGAAUACCAAUUGCGAAGGCAGCUUUCUGGAUCAUUACUGACACUGAGGAACGAAAGCAUGGCUGGCGAAGAGGAUUAGAUA